RNAcentral lists this long non-coding RNA (225 nucleotides) under Lathyrus oleraceus (garden pea). Its description in RNAcentral is "Pisum sativum (pea) long non-coding RNA (PSAT_LNC027113)". Lineage: Eukaryota; Viridiplantae; Streptophyta; Magnoliopsida; Fabales; Fabaceae. The record is from RNAcentral.
UUUAUGAAUUUUUAAUAAAUAUUUUUUCUUUAAAUAAUGGAUAAUAAGAAUUGUUAAUAAAAAAGAAAGAAAAACUCUCUUACACUCCAACGUCUCUCUCUGCUACAAAAAAGAACAAAAAGAAAAUAAAAGGAGGAAAAGGUGGUCAGAAGAUUGAAAAAAGGCGACACGUCUUAUCUUCUUUCCCACCCUGUCAUUCACGAAAAAGGAGGAAAGAAAAGGAGA